GACGAACGCUGGCGGCGUGCUUAACACAUGCAAGUCGAACGCUGAAGCUCAGCUUUUGUUGGGUGGAUGAGUGGCGAACGGGUGAGUAACACGUGAGUAACCUGCCCCCUUCUUUGGGAUAACGCCCGGAAACGGGUGCUAAUACUGGAUAUUCACUGGUCUUCGCAUGGGGGUUGGUGGAAAGGGUUUUUCUGGUGGGGGAUGGGGUCGCGGCCUAUCAGCUUGUUGGUGGGGUGAUGGCCUACCAAGGCUUUGACGGGUAGCCGGCCUGAGAGGGUGAACGGUCACAUUGGGACUGAGAUACGGCCCAGGAUACUACGGGAGGGAGCAGUGGGGAAUAUUGCACAAUGGGCGAAAGACUGAUGCAGCGACGCCGCGUGAGGGAUGGAGGCCUUCGGGUUGUGAACCUCUUUCGCUCAUGGUCAAGCCGCAACAAUGGUUGUGGUGAGGGUAGUGGGUAAAGAAGCGCCGGCUAACUACGUG
Molecule: ribosomal RNA, 483 nt
Filed under: uncultured bacterium
Lineage: Bacteria
Description: partial 16S ribosomal RNA
Rfam family: Bacterial small subunit ribosomal RNA
Source: RNAcentral